GUGUUCAAGCAAUCGCUGUUCACAAUACGUGUUCAGAGGAAAGUCCAUGCUCGCACGAUCUGAGAUGAUCGUAGUGUUCGUGCCUGACGAAAUCAUAAGUCAGGGCCGGUUGGCAUUCAGCUGACCGGACGGCAGAGAAAAGCUCUACGUAAGCUUGAUGCUUAUAGGAGCUGAUGAUCUUGAAAGUGCCACAGUGACGGAGCCUGUUCGGAAACGGACAGGGUGGAACGCGGUAAACCCCUCGAGCGAGAAACCCAAAAAUAUGGUAGGGGCGCCUUUCCGAAGGAAUUCAACGGAGGAAAGGGCAGUUGAUAUGCUCAACUGCAGAUAGAUGAUUGCUUCCGGCGUGCGAGGUGAAUAACCGUUUAAGCACAAAGGAACAGAACAUGGCUUAUCGAA
RNAcentral lists this RNase P RNA (399 nucleotides) under Salsuginibacillus halophilus. Its description in RNAcentral is "Bacterial RNase P class B". It matches the Rfam family "Bacterial RNase P class B". Rfam says of the family: Ribonuclease P (RNase P) is a ubiquitous endoribonuclease, found in archaea, bacteria and eukarya as well as chloroplasts and mitochondria. Its best characterised activity is the generation of mature 5'-ends of tRNAs by cleaving the 5'-leader elements of precursor-tRNAs. The record is from Rfam by way of RNAcentral. Lineage: Bacteria; Bacillati; Bacillota; Bacilli; Caryophanales; Bacillaceae.